Molecule: ribosomal RNA, 253 nt
Filed under: uncultured bacterium
Lineage: Bacteria
Description: partial 16S ribosomal RNA
Rfam family: Bacterial small subunit ribosomal RNA
Source: RNAcentral
UACGUAGGUGACAAGCGUUAUCCGGAAUUACUGGGCGUAAAGCGCACGCAGGCGGCGCAUUAAGUCUGACGUGAAAUCUCCUGGCUUAACUGGGAGGGGUCGUUGGAGACUGAUGGGCUUGAGGCGAUGAGAGGGGUGUAGAAUUCCCGGUGUAGUGGUGGAAUGCGUAGAUAUCGGGAGGAAUACCAGUGGCGAAAGCGGCACCCUGGCAUGAGCCUGACGCUCAGGUGCGAAGGCGUGGGGAGCGAACGGG